This 429-nucleotide ribosomal RNA is filed under the name Bacteroidota bacterium. Its description in RNAcentral is "Bacteroidetes bacterium partial 16S ribosomal RNA". It matches the Rfam family "Bacterial small subunit ribosomal RNA", at positions 355 to 776 of the family's 1533-position model. Lineage: Bacteria; Pseudomonadati; Bacteroidota. The record is from RNAcentral.
UAGGGAAUCUUCCGCAAAGGACGCAAGUCUGACGGAGCAACGCCGCGUGAGUGAAGAAGGAUUUCGGUUCGUAAAACUCUGUUGUUAGAGAAGAACAGCGCAUAGAGUAACUGUUAUGCGUGUGACGGUAUCUAACCAGAAAGCCACGGCUAACUACGUGCCAGCAGCCGCGGUAAUACGUAGGUGGCAAGCGUUGUCCGGAUUUAUUGGGCGUAAAGCGAGCGCAGGCGGUCAAUUAAGUCUGAUGUGAAAGCCCCCGGCUCAACCGGGGAGGGUCAUUGGAAACUGGUUGACUUGAGUGCAGAAGAGGAGAGUGGAAUUCCAUGUGUAGCGGUGAAAUGCGUAGAUAUAUGGAGGAACACCGGUGGCGAAAGCGGCUCUCUGGUCUGUAACUGACGCUGAGGCUCGAAAGCGUGGGUAGCAAACAGG